Molecule: long non-coding RNA, 221 nt
Filed under: Elaeis guineensis (African oil palm)
Lineage: Eukaryota; Viridiplantae; Streptophyta; Magnoliopsida; Arecales; Arecaceae
Description: long non-coding RNA (EGUI_LNC026478)
Source: RNAcentral
GAGAUUCCGUUGAAAGUUGGUCUGAAAGAACUGUCAAUUAAGUGUCUUUGAGAAGCGCCUACAAGAAAAGAAGACAAAUGAUACCACACAUUGCUAGAAGGGGUAGAACCGAUCCCCCCAUAGGGGUUCGGUAACGAAAUCUACCUUCAUCGACCACUGGACAGAAUCGAUCCCCUUUAGAGGGAUUCUGCACCGCUAUGUCCUCCUCGAUCUCUACCCAG